AGAGUUUGAUCCUGGCUCAGGAUGAACGCUAGCUACAGGCUUAACACAUGCAAGUCGAGGGGAAACGAUAUUGGAAGCUUGCUUCCGAUAGGCGUCGACCGGCGCACGGGUGAGUAACGCGUAUCCAACCUGCCCACCACUUGGGGAUAACCUUGCGAAAGUAAGACUAAUACCCAAUGAUAUCUCUAGAAGACAUCUGAAAGAGAUUAAAGAUUUAUCGGUGAUGGAUGGGGAUGCGUCUGAUUAGCUUGUUGGCGGGGUAACGGCCACCAAGGCGACGAUCAGGUAGGGGUUCUGAGAGGAAGGUCCCCCACAUUGGAACUGAGACACGGUCCAAAACUCUACGGGAGCA
Molecule: ribosomal RNA, 352 nt
Filed under: uncultured bacterium
Lineage: Bacteria
Description: bacterial SSU rRNA
Rfam family: Bacterial small subunit ribosomal RNA
Source: RNAcentral